AAAAUAACAACAAUUAGCUCAUCUUAGUCCAUAAUAGGAAGCAACAAUAACAUAAUCCAUAAUCUUCCAUAAAUUUACAAAUGCAUGUUUCAAACUUAUAUACGCAUCUGCUAGGUGGUAUUCAAGAACAAGUAGAGAGUUGCCUCUCAAAACAAUGAAAAGUAUGUCUAGUUGUUGAGAGGCCCAGAUACCGAUGGCUAGAGGACCAAUUAUUCUAGUUUCUUGAUGUCAUGCAAUAUUUGGGAGAAUUACACUUGUCCAUUUCCAGAUAGAAAGGUAGUCUUUUCUAUCGGCCAAGGAGCCCCCGCCAUCACUGCCUCUAUCUCUUCAAUCUUCCGCGGACAUUUGCUCAUGUUAAUGCAUCCAAUGGAAGUAACACACACAUCACUUUCAAUUCUGACUCCACCAAAAGGUCUAAACCUGUUGAUCUCAACACGAUUGAAAAACUCUGAAACUGCUGGACUCUUCAAGGCAGGAAGUAGCAAGGCAUCAAUGAAGUAACAACCAGGCUCCACAGUGAUCACCAUUCCCUUUAAGAGCUUUCUGCUCGUACGUAGAGAGCUCAAUCCAGGUUCUUUUGGUCUUUUAGCUCCCUUCAAGUAACCCCCAGGAUCAUGAGUAUCAAUUCCAAGAAGGUGCCCCAAUCCAUGAGGCAUGAAAACAGCACCAAGUCGCUCGGCCAUCAUUUUAUCAACAUCCCCAACAAGUAGGUUCCCUUUCUUCAGUGAUUCCAAAAUGACCCUUUCAGCUAAUUUAUGCAUAUCGACCCAGCUCACUCCAGGCUUCAUGGCAGAAAUGACAGCAUCAUGAGCAUCAAGAACAGCAGUAUAUAAAAGUGACUGGUCACGAGUAAAUUUCCCAUUUACUGGAAAGGAACAAGUUAUGUCGGACCCAUAAAAGUGGUACUCAGCUCCCAUAUCUAGAAGUGCCAUAUCUCCCUCUUGCAAUGUCUUGUCAUUUGGAGCUGCUGCAUGACCAUAAUGGAGUACAGCACUAUUAUCGCCAGUAGCACAUAUACAUGUGUAU
Molecule: unclassified non-coding RNA, 1026 nt
Filed under: Hevea brasiliensis (rubber tree)
Lineage: Eukaryota; Viridiplantae; Streptophyta; Magnoliopsida; Malpighiales; Euphorbiaceae
Source: RNAcentral